CUAGCUAACUGAAAUCACAAAAUCAUAAAAUGUGCUUAUUGUGAUAACGUAAGGGAAAAAAAUGAUAAUACCUUACUAAAAGUGUUGUCUAAAUAACUGGUGCCAGAAGACUCGGUAACACCAGAAACGCGAACGUUAGUCGUCUUAAACAGGCGUAAAGGGUAAGUAGGCUGUUUUAAAUUCUAUUUUUAAAAUAAGCAAAUUAGUAAUAAUCCUCCCUCCCCUCCCUCGCGCAAGCGAUAGCUGUGCGCUUUGGAGGGGGACAAAAAUAUUUCAGACCUAAUAUAUAAAUUAAGGCUAACUUAAAUUGAAAAUAGGGAGUUAUUACCCCUCUCUCCCUUAGGAUUAGCAGGAGCAAAUUUCACCCCCCCCCUCUCCCCGCUUACGCGGGAGAGCGCGAGGGUGGAGUAAAAGCUCUUCUCCUUUUCUAUUCUUUUAACUAAAAAGCAAAGGGGGUUGCUACGCAAGAGAGAGGGAAGAAAAAAUAGAUAUACUUAAAGCUAGAAUCAUAUUGAGAUAAACCAAAUAUACUUAUGUGUAAGGGCGAAAUCUGAAAAUACUAAGUAGAAUACUAACGGUGAAAACUUUUUAUCUGGUAAUGAUUGACGCUGAGGUACGAAAGUGAGCACAGGGAAUAGGAUUAGAUACCCAGUUACAUCUCACCGUCAACGAUGAAUGGUAGUUGUUAGUUUAAAUUAAAUUAGUGACGUUGUUAACGCGAUAACCAUUCCGCAUUGAGAGUACGGUUGCAAAACUGAAACCAAAAAAAUUAGUCGGUCUCGGAGCAAA
RNAcentral lists this ribosomal RNA (789 nucleotides) under Inocybe cf. ambigua EL8105. RNAcentral describes it as "16S ribosomal RNA". It matches the Rfam family "Bacterial small subunit ribosomal RNA", at positions 413 to 929 of the family's 1533-position model. The record is from RNAcentral. Lineage: Eukaryota; Fungi; Basidiomycota; Agaricomycetes; Agaricales; Inocybaceae.